RNAcentral lists this non-coding RNA (23 nucleotides) under Cricetulus griseus (Chinese hamster). Lineage: Eukaryota; Metazoa; Chordata; Mammalia; Rodentia; Cricetidae. The record is from RNAcentral.
AGAAAUACAUGAUGACUGUUGGG